GAGUUCAAGAGUACGUGAAACUGCUUAGAGGUUAAGCCCGAUGAACCUGAAUAUCCAUUAUAGAAAAUUCAUCACUAAUACUAUUAUAUUUAUAAUAUUAUAGGAAUGGUGUGCAAUUUUUCUAUAUAAGGACAUUGUAAUCUGUUAAUGUAAUAAAUAUUUAUUAAAAGUUCUUAUACUUUAGUUUAUUCAAAUUAGUUAUUUUCGAAUUUCUAACAUAGAAUAAAUGUAUUUGAAUUAAUAAAUCAUUGACAGAUUUAUUUAUAUAUAGUGCUUAAAUUUUUUUCGAAAAAUUUUAAAAUAAUAUAAUUAAUUUAAUUUGAUUAUAUUUAAUUUUAUGCGCUUAUAUGAUUUACAAUGCGAUAGAUUCAGGAUACCUUCGGGACCCGUCUUGAAACACGGACCAAGGAGUCUAACAUAUGUGCAAGUCAUUGGGUAUUUAUAAUAAAACCCAAUGGCAUAAUUAACUUAACUGUUUUUUAAUAUGGGAUUAGUUUAUUAUUUAUUAUGAAUUAUAAAUUCAAUCCCGGGGCGUUCUAUCAGUUAUGUAUAAUAAUAUUUAUAUUAUUUAUACCUCUAACUAGAGC
RNAcentral lists this ribosomal RNA (587 nucleotides) under Pelecocera lusitanica. Its description in RNAcentral is "partial 28S ribosomal RNA". The record is from RNAcentral. Lineage: Eukaryota; Metazoa; Arthropoda; Insecta; Diptera; Syrphidae.